CCACUUGUGUGAACUGUUAUUAAGAGAUAUUGAUAACUUGCUAGUUCAUUGUUGACAUCUAUUUUCUGUGCUUUGUAGAGAUGCAAGACAGCAAAAUACAGGAAUCAGUCCCUGAAAUGAAUGGUGAAUGUUUGUGGCCACACGCUAUGUGAGAGCUGUGUGGACAUGCUUGUGAGAGCUGUGUGGACAUGCUGUUUGUGAGUGGCUCGAGGAACUGUGUGCAGUGUGGCACGCCCCCGAGGAAGAGUAACUUCCGCAUGCAGCUCUUCAAAGACCCAGCCAUCGACAAGGAGGUGGAGAUCCGCAAGAAGUUAGAACGAGAGACUUUGACUUCUCCAGCCUGAGAGAAUACAAUGACUAUUUGGAGCAAGUGGAGGAGAUCGGUUGUGCCGAAUCCGAUUUCCAGUAUCUGCCCUAGAUCAAUUGAAGGGAAGUCUGUGCUAGUGUCUUGGAGGGCUGCCCUGCACUCUGCUCCAGUCUAUAACCUGACCAACAACCUUGAGGUGGAGGGCACCAAACACAUCAUGGAGGCGUACCAGAGAGAGAAUAGAGACAUCAUCCAGAAGAACAAGGCCAAGCUGAUGCGAGAGCAGGAGGAGCUGCUGUCGUUGGAGGAGCUGUUGUUGGAGGACAUGCUGUUGGAGGAGCUGCUGUUGUUGGAGGAUUAGGGGAACGAGUAUCGCAGGCUGGAGGAUCUGCAGGAGGAACAGAGACAGCUACAGGCCAAGAGGAAGAGCAAGCAGGCUCUACUAGAUAAACUGGGUCAGACUGUGUCGUUGCAGCCGUGUCCUGUAUAGAGGAUAUUCUGUACUGCUACCAGCCCAUCAAUAGCCACACCUACAGAACCCCCGUGCCUGAGCUGGAGCAGCUGGGACGUCUUGGGUAUCUGAACCACGUGCGCAUUACCCAGCCCCAGGACAUGGUUGGAGGAUACAACUCAGGACUUGUGUGUCAUUGAGCCAUCCAGGAUGCCGUUACUGGACUGACCCAGAAACUCAGAAAUAUGAAGCUGUCAAUUAUCACAGGAUUCAAAUUACCCCCCUGUUUUACAUUGUGGAGGGAGCUAUGGACAGUGUACUUCGGUCUGAAGUCAGAUCAGGAUGUAUAUGUUGCCAUUUUUGUAUAAUCUUAUUUUUUUAUUAAAAAAACAAAAACACAAUGAAGCUCAUUGUUGGAUAAGAAAACUAUUGAAACAAUGCCUAUUUGUGGGACCUGGAUAAUGGACCAGUAUUUCAAAUACAGUCAACACAUACCUGUUUAUGUUCUUUUUAGGUCAAGGCAUAACCAUGAUUUAGAUCAUGUCAGCCUUAUUGACACUAUUAUAAAAUAACAUGAACAGAGUUCAAAGAUCAAAAAUAAAAUAUACAAUUCAAGGUCUCAGAAUGAGCUCCUUGGUCAAAUAUAUUCAAUUUGUUGUCUCCUCACACUUUUGUCUCUUUGGUGCUGGUUCUUCUAUGGCUUCUGAGGAGAGGACAAAUGGUAUUAGUAUUUUCAGUCUACAGUCUUUCAGAGAGUGCAUGUGUGUUGUACUGUUUAGGGUUGGGGCCAAUUCAAAUUAAAUGUGACAUUUCAAAU
Molecule: long non-coding RNA, 1575 nt
Organism: Salvelinus namaycush (lake trout)
Lineage: Eukaryota; Metazoa; Chordata; Actinopteri; Salmoniformes; Salmonidae
Exons: 7
Source: RefSeq, a predicted model, not a curated record